RNAcentral lists this ribosomal RNA (126 nucleotides) under Propithecus coquereli (Coquerel's sifaka). The record is from RNAcentral. Lineage: Eukaryota; Metazoa; Chordata; Mammalia; Primates; Indriidae.
GAUAAGGGCCAUACCACCCUGAACAUGCCCAAUCUGAUCUCAGAAGCUAAGCAGGGUUGGGCCUGGUUAGUACUUGGAUGGGAGACUCUUUAAUGUUUUUGAGUGUGGACCAUGUAACCCUCAAAC